This 220-nucleotide unclassified non-coding RNA is filed under the name plant metagenome. Its description in RNAcentral is "partial contains small subunit ribosomal RNA, internal transcribed spacer 1, and 5.8S ribosomal RNA". The record is from RNAcentral.
UUUCCGUAGGUGAACCUGCGGAAGGAUCAUUACAGAUUUCAUGCCCUCACGGGUAGAUCUCCCACCCUUGAAUAUUUAUACCUUAGUUGCUUUGGCAGGCCGUGGAAACACCAUGGGCUCCGGCUUAUGCGUUCCUGCCAGAGGAAACAAACUCUGUUUUUAGUGAUGUCUGAGUACUAUAUUAUAGUUAAAACUUUCAACAACGGAUCUCUUGGUUCUG